This is a long non-coding RNA of Phasianus colchicus (ring-necked pheasant), 11571 nucleotides long. RefSeq lists it as uncharacterized. The record is from RefSeq and is a predicted model, not a curated record. NCBI's taxonomy places the organism in Eukaryota, Metazoa, Chordata, Aves, Galliformes, Phasianidae.
CGGCCCCGCCUGUGAGGGCCCCGCCAACGGGCGGGAAGCGUUAUUGCGACCUCGGGCUGGGAGGGCCGCUCUCCUCUGUGCCCGGGCUACACGGAGUAAGAGAGGUUUGGAAGCGCCCAGCCUCCCCCGUUACUCCCUCAGCACCAACAUCCGAGUCUCAGUGGACUUCUGAGCAUCUUUCAGUGGGCCAGCACUGAAAACGUAAUGGAGAAUAGACCGUUUGGUUGUCUGUUACCAAGGCCUCAGCAACAGCCCCAUAAAAGAGACUCUAGAUGGAACCACAGUCCUGGGCUGAGCUCCAAAGCAUUGCUUAUAAUCAAAAACUUAUCUGGAGAAAGAAACUCCAAUUAAAAACUGACUCUCACCAUCAAACCGUUAGCAGCAGAAUACAUCCCAUCAUCAUUUAAAGAAGCACAAGAAAUGAAGACGGCUUCUUAGCUUAGGACAGCAGCUUUCCAGGACCUUCCAAUUUUUCAAAUUCAUCUCAGAUAUCCCUGCAAGCAGCAUACAUUGCUUGUGGUCAGCAACACAGACACCAUCGUGGAGAUGGCAUGGGUCGAUGAGCUUUUCCUGCUUUGGUGCCCUUCCUCAGCAUGGCUAACACAGAUGAGGAACACUUAAAAAACGAGAGUGUGUGCAGAACUGCUGACCCUACAAGCAAUACUCCUCUUCACUUGUGAAGACUGCAGCAGUGGACUCUCAUCAUGUUGCUUUUUCAGAUGUCACUUAACCACUGAUAACUAUAGCAAGUGCUGAAAACAAUUCACCUUUAAUAAAUCAUUUCCAGAAUUGUCAGAGUUGGUAAUAUCUUACAUGUCUGUUCUGGGACAAAAAGCAGCAUUAUCAGUAUCAAAAUGAAGUUAACUAAAAGUUUACCAAUUCAAGAGCUCUGCAUCUUUAAAAUUCAAGAAUUAAAUGAUCUUUUGUCAAAGAGGGAAAUUAAUGAAUAACUCUAGAGAAUUUUAGAGAAGAUGUAGAUAUUAUCUAGUCUGAUAACAUGCAACUUUUAGAGAUAUGAGAAGAAUGUGGAUGGGAAGGUGACUCCAAAUACACUGCAUAACUGAUUAGUCUGGAUCAGAGAGAACUAUUUGGUUACAUUGAACUGCCAUAAGCUCAUUUCACUAUCCUGUUACUGCUGUCUAGAAAUCCAUGGAAAUUCAGUGACAUUGAAGUCCCCACUCCAAGGCACGCCGCAGGAUAUUGGUGCCUUGCUCACGCUCCAGUACCUGGAGGAAGAUUUCUGACUAUGCUCAUUCUGAAAAAACAGAAAAAAACACAUGGUAUUUCUCAGAAUGAGUGCAGAAAAACUUGGGAGCUGGCAUCCAGUUAUCGUAGAGGCCUAAAAACAGAAAAAAGCAGAUAAGAACUUUGACAUUACUUUUUUUUUUUUUGCAAUUUUCACUAAAACCAAGCUUGCCCUGCAGAGUAGCAUUUAGCACAAAUUGUAAAAGCAUAGAGACCAAGGCAGUAUUAUAAGUAAAUCUAAAUAACAAAAAGAGCAGCACAAACCUGCCCGAUGUCAUUCAAAAAGUUUGAAUAGGAACAGGAAACUCCCUUCUUUGUAAAGUGAUAACAGAGUGCCAGUGGUGGUGAAUGACACGUGCAGCACCAACAGCUAUGCUCACCCUGUCUCAAUUUAGCUGCUGGUCUUGCUCCAAAGCACACAGUUGGAACAAGGGACAUUUUUAACGUCAAUUGUUGAGCAAAGCAAGCCACUGCAACCUACAGUCAAUCAUUUAGUUGAAUCUCAUCUUUACAGGAGAAGAGGUUGCAUACUAACAGCUAAGUCCUCAGUAUUGCUAGCACAGCAUGUCUGAGCAACACAAAAUCUCCUCCUUCCUGUCUCCUGGUCUAUGUGGAACCAGACCCCAAAACUGAGAAGUGCCCCUGCAGAAAAGUGACCAGGAAGGCAUUCUGCCUUGUAAACAUACACAACACUCAAACAGCAAGUCAAACAAAAGUGCUUGAAAACUCUCUAGUUUAAAAAGGAAUGAAUAAUUCUUAAAGAUUUUGAGAAAAAUCUGGAAAUAAAUUAGUGAGCUAACAUGAAUAAUAAGAUCCAGUGGGUUUGAAGACAUUGGAAUGAAGAACUAAAUACUUUUUAAAUAAAGAGUGAAUUCCACUAACAAAUAUACCUUAACAUUCUGCUCUAUCUCAAUACCUGAAUAUACAUUUGAUUUGUUGAAUUUUGUGAAUGCAUAAGUGCAGUCAUGCUUUACUGCCUGAAUGCAAGAAUUGCUUUGUCUUGAAGGUACAUGAAAAGAUACAUGAACUAAGCAUUUCUAUUAUUUUUAAGUUGACUUGCAACUUCUUGGCCACCGUUUGCAGAUGCAGAUUAAAUUACAUGCAUGUUUUAAUGCCUUAUUGUGCAUGAAAGGUAACUCACUGCACCUUCAACUAAUGAAGGCAGCUGUGGAUGAGAGUAACUAAAACACUGAUCUGAUGAAUAAAGGGAAAACUGAUUUUCCCUUCUUAUAAUGGUGAAUGACAUAGGGACAACCUUCCUGUGGAAAAUAACAAGUACCUUUGGAGCAAGCCCAGGCACUGAUUCCUGACUGUUCUGAAGAGAUUAUGCAUGGAUAUUUGUCAGUCCUAAUGUAAACGGGAAAGACAGAAAAGGCUUCAAAAACAACAGCAGAAAACGAUGGUCUUUUGUACCAAAAUCCAGUUUUAAUUAUUUGCAAAUGCUACAACUCUGUGAAUCAACUAAUCCUAAUCCUCAAAGAAAAGCUUAUUUUCUUAUUGUGGCAAGAGAGGGUGAGGCAAAAUUCCACUGACUUGUACCUAGCUAUGGAGGAUUGAAGCGGAUAAUGCUGCAGAUCGGAGGAGACCGUACCAAACCACAGAGGGCAGCACUUCUGAUACCAUCUCUGGAUGGAAAGAAAACAGAGGAGCACUGGAUCAGUGUAUAUUGAGAAGUCAGAAAGGUAAUUAACUGCAUUGUCAAAAAUGAAUAUGUAGACCACUGGGUAGCUAUUUACACCACACAGGCAUUUCUCCUCUCUAUCUAUUGUUUUCAGUAUGGCUUAAAUAUUCAAUUCCUAGGAACAACCAUAUCUCCCAGACUGAAUACCUGCGAGAGGCUACCAUCAAGCAGCAAACUGGCAGUGGUGUGGAGCCAGGGUCUCCAAUCUACUACCUGCAUGGCUUCUGGGUUUGUUCAGCAGGUCCAGUCCCAGGGACUUGUGGUAUCAGCUUCCUGUGCCAAGUGGGAAACAUCUCUAGAAAAAGCCAUCAGCCUUGUCUCACCACAAAACUGCCAAAAAGUUAUCAAUGAACAAAUCUGAUUUACAAACUGCUGAGAUUAGGAUUUUGGUACACCAUGUGUCAUCUUCAAGACACUGCUAUUUCUAUGUGCAACCAACCAUCCUUGGGACUAGGAAGAGUUCAUCAAUGGAUGACAGCUGGUCCCAACAGGAGAGUAAGAGAGAGAUAACACAUCAGUAAUAGGUUGUUAAAAGACUUUGUUUUAAGACCUUCUGUGGUGAACAGAUGUCUCCUGCAGCUGAGUGACUAAGCAGUUGAACCAUGAUAUGGGCUACGCUAGGAUGUGGUUUGCAAAAUAUCUCCCACAGUUCUGUCUCAUUUGAUUCAAGAUAUGAUCAGAAGAAAAGCAGACCUAAAAUCUUCCAAGUGUUUGGCCAAGACUAAUUUCACAAGUAUUCUGAAGUUGUGAUUUUCUCUUACCCUCCUAUGGCAGCUCUUUUACUUGCUUUAACCAAUGUGUAUUGGUGCUGGAGGUCCCACCUGGGAAAGUCUUAUUCAUAGUAGUUAGAGGGAGAAGAUAAAAGAAAAAAGAAAAAGGCCUGAGGUAACCACCAAGUGGGUUUGGACCCCCAUCUGCUUCUAUCUCUUGUAAAACUGCCAUUAGGUUCCUAUGCAACUGGGAUGCUUCGGAGCACAUUACUGCAUAACUUAGUUUUGCAUCUAAAAGCCAAGAUAACACGGACCCUGUUGGGGUGCUACUUUAGUUUCCUAUAUCUACAAAUCAAUGCCAUAAUAUGCAUUUUUUCACUGAGCACAAGAGGAUUCCAAUGCAAGUUAAUUUUAUGCUGCAUUUAUAACACAUCAUGGCAAGAGAGUCCCAGCUCCUGAGUCUGCCACGAAGCAUGCUCUCCAUGCCUAUUUUUUACUAUUUCUGCUGGUCUUGGCUGCAUGAGAGGUGUCAAGCUGCCUGCUGCCUGCAGAUGCAUGAUCCAGGACUAGCAAACACCUACAGCAGCACUUACGCUCACAGACUCAUGUCACUAUGGCACAGUCAAGCAGCUUGGACCAUUUCCGAAGUGCUUGCUGAUCUUCCUGGUUAUCUUCUAGCUUUCUCAACUAACAUAAAUUGGCAUGACUUCUCUUUUCCUGCUCAUUUGUGCCAGUUGAGAAUCUGUCCCAGAGCAUUUAUAAAACUGUUGUGAAAGACAAUGCUUGACAGUUCUUCUGAACUAUAAAUAGAGUUGGCUUUGCCUCUCCCCUGAGAGACAGAUAGUAUUACCACCAAUAACAAAAAACAUUCAGCUGUCAUGAGACAGGCUUAGAAAUUACCAGUUUGCCAUGCAAACAUACAUUCACACACAUGCAUGCAAGUAGAGAUUUUUAUGUGCUUUUGGGUCAUGUGUCCAGUUCUUUGUCUAUAGGAACAAAGACUACAACUUUUUUUUUUUUUUUUUUUUUUAAGUAAAAAGAUUUUUUCAGAAGUGAAAGGAUACUAUCAGUUGAGAACUCUGUAAAUCACCAAACCUCAUGCAACUUGCCAUAAUAUUUUGUGAACUAGCAACGCUAUUUCCUAGCUACUUCUUAUUUUAGUGAUUUGCUCAAAAAGAAAAUCUAAUCGUAGUUGAAUGCUAGACUCUGACUAAGCUUUCUGUUAUAAUCUGUGAGCUGCAGGCUAUGUGAUGACUAUGCUUUGAUUCUUUGCUAUCUGAAAGUCAAACUGUGUUUUCGACAUUUUUUCAAGUUCACUGGAAGAAGUUUAGUGCAUACACUACUGCUGAUUCAAACUCAACUAUGGGCAAAAUAGCUGAAAAAUCUAUAUUAAACCUCCAGUUUUACACAUACAGUUAUGAAUUUCCCAUUCAUUCAAGUAUUUUCCAAAACAGGCUUUCACAAAUGACAGUAAACUUGUCUCUGAACUUCAACUGGGAAAUUAAGUGGGACUUUUUUUUUCUUUACUGCCGUCAUGCUCGGAGACAUCACAUAACUGAUUAACACUGCAAGGAAAGUUUGCUGUGUGCCAACAGCAAAAAAUACUUCCUAAUUUCCAAAGAUCUCAGAUUAUAAAAAAAUGGCUCUUGCUUUUAACCUACUUCCAAAAACCUACAGAAUUGUGUAUCAUGGUAUGUGUACACAGCAUUGUGUGACAACUGUGUGUCACAGCUAUGCCCCAUGAAGUACAAGUGUUGGGCGUGUUUUGAGUCAUGAAAACCACAUGUUUCUUCCUGUAGCUCAUCAAUGUGCACUGUAAAUGGUGGCCCUGAAACAUAAAUCCCUGCAGGCUGCAGGAAAGGAUGAAAUACAUUUUACCACUCACUGCAGCACAGGAAUACACAUUCCUGCCACUCCUACUUCUUGGAGAGGCAGGGGGGUUGGUAAAGACACAAGGGAAGAAAUGCCUCUCCCCAAAUGGCAUUGAGCCAUUGUACCACCAGUAGGGACAAGCUAUUCCCAAAAAUGUCUGUGCUAUGUGAUUCUGGCAAAGGGAGAGAUAAUAGUCUCUUUCUGCUCUUCCCUCACUGGCCUGUGUGGCAAGGAAGUGAUGGCACAGCUACAGAAGCACUUAGCUGGGUAAUUCAAGACGCAAGAUUCAAACCUACUCAGGAGACCAGCUGCACUUUCAGGAUAUUCUGCUAUUGAAAACCAAAGAAAUCAGAUUUCAGGCUGCUCUCUGUAGUAACAGAUUAGCUUCCAAAAUAUUCUAAGUGAUCUUGGCUGCAGCUCUCAGGGAGGAAAUAGGAAAUGUUUAUUUUGUAAUCUGGCCUCAUUAUAUCUCCUGUAGAUCCCUUAUUCAUCAAGGAAACUGAAUCCCAAUAAGCGCUGUGUGCAGGGAGAUACUGACAAUGUUCUGGCCCUUUACUCUUUUCACUUCAUUGCAUCUACUCUGAGAAGAGGGGAAAAAGUGAGUCCCAGUGCUGCUGGCGUGCUCUGACCCGUAAGUCCAGUUAAGCCUGUAGGGAUGGGAAAGGAGAAGUUUCCUUCAUCCAUCUUUGGGCAAGCCAAUGUUUCCUAGUUUCACUCACAUCACUUUGAAUAACAAUAUAUUCCCUAUCUGCUAGAGAUUCAGCUUCUAAGACAUUGAAAUAAUUUUUAGAAAUAUACAAAAUACUUUUCUCUAGCUCUGAAAUAGCUCUGAAACUUCCCUGGCUUUCGGGAAAGACUAACUCAGGCUUUGUAUGCAGCAUCAGCCCUACAGCUUUGGUGGUUCUUUCCCUGCCUGCAUCUAUACAGUAACUGCAGGCUGCUGAGGUUGUAGCACUGAACUGUGGGUCACCAGGAUUCCUGCUGAACAAAACUGUAUUUACAGAAAUACAGAAAUGCGCUCAGUCCAGCACAACUAUAGGUGCAUAUAAUCCCUGAUGACCAAUAAAGCCUAGCUUCUCUGGAAAGCUGGCUCUGAACAAGCGUUUAGGAAGCUGGCAGGUUUCCCCAUGUCAUGCUCCUGGCCCAGGUUUUUUUUUUCCAUCCUGCCCUUUUUAUUCUCCUGUUGCCCUUGCAAUGACCUGACGUGCUCCCUUUGUGCUCGGAUGUUAAGCCAAUGUGACCUGCUCGCUCAGCCCCACUGAUUAAGUCCAACAACAACAUUUUUUCAGAGGGUCUGUCCCCACACAUUUCGUUGGGAUUUUAAAUUCUUUAGAUUUCAUUCAGCCCAUGUGCAUCGGAGUGUCACAAGGCGCUGGGCCCAGCUCAGUUAGUCCUGGCCCUGGAAGAGCUCCAGCUUCCCCAGCACCAUGUGUAUGAGUAUUGCAGCAGGAAGGGAUGGUCUGAACAGAGCAGGCUGCCAAAUAAGGAGUCACCAUGGCUCCCUGCUCCUUUUAACAUACAGCUGCCUUGGUAAGGAUCCCUGCAGCCGCUGGCCGUAAUUGCUAUCUGUGCUGAUAGUUAUCACUGUGACACUGAAUGGCAGAGAUGAGCUCUGAAAAAACUGAGGUCUAUCUACCCUUUUGCUGAGUUAGUUCUGCAGUCAAAUGCAAACUACUGAUUCAGCUCUCCCAGGUCCAGGGGAAAGGACUGCAGAAUGAAACAAGGGAAAUUCACAUAUGAUUUUUUUGCUUGCUAUACUGCUAUCCAAACCAUACGAGGCACCUCUGCUCCAUCAAGAGUUUCAGGGCAGUAUCAUGGCUCAGUCCAUACCAUAUGCUGCUGCCUUUUAUUGUAACCAUUUAACCACCUGCAAGUUGCACUUGUUCUAUCAGCUUUUAAUUUGUCUCUCUUUGCUCCUCUCAUCUGCUCCUGUCCAUCCCUAGGAUAAUAGCAAACAGCCUGAUGGAAAAUAAACAGAAGAAAUGUGAGGAGGGACAAUUCUGAGACAAAAGAGGAGAAUGGAGAAGGCAAAUCCAAGGAAAAAUCUGUGGAUGAAGUAGGUGCUGCCCCGAACAUAGGAGCAAGGAGUUUUUAAAAUCAAAUGCAGAAGCAAGCAGGAUUUUAAUGUCAGGAUUCAAGGAUGAGAAAGAAUAGGAAAGCAGCAGCAGCACUCAAAAUGAGUGGAAGGAAGGGGAAUGAGGAAGACAGGAGAAAAAAUAGCAGAGAGUGAUGGAAGACAGGUUGCCUAGGCUUGUUUUCACACAGAUAUGUGGACAGAAAGCCAUGCUACUAGUGAGGUUCUGCUCCCUUAUUUUUAAAAUUGCACACUGUCUCCUAAGCUCUGCAGAUCUUUAUGUAAUAUGUUGAGGAGCCAAAAGCCCAGUAAGAAUUCUUCUGCUCUGCUAGACAUGCACUACACAAUCAACAGGAUAGAAAUCUGCAUCCCCAGAGCAUUUUAUCAACUCAACAUUUUUGUCUUUAGCUUCCAUGACUAGUUGGAACUCAGUAUAUCUGCAAGAAUGGAUUCAUUUGCAACCUGGGAUAAGAUCUUAGAUCCAUGGCCAUCUUCCUGUGUUUUUAGCACCUCUGACAAAAUGAGCUAACUUGUUCUUUAGUUUUGCAAUUAUGUGAAUUCAGCUUAAAAGAGAUCUUUGAAGGAAAUGUAUUUAAUAAAAAGACACGCUUGCUAGCAAGUUUGGGAGGAUCACACUGACAGAAGUAAGUACACAUCUGUAAAACAUUAAAAAAUAUGAAUUUUCAGGAAAGGAUAUUGCCAAGGCAACAAGCCAGUCUAAAUGGGGAAUUCUGGGGGAACUAUGCUAUUGGCACAACCGAGCACCAUCAAACAGGGUUUGAACUUCAUCUUUCAUCCUGUCCAGCUCCUACCAACUACCAACAGGGACUUUAUAGCAGUCUACUGGUACUUAAAGGGGGGCACUACAGUAAAGCUGGGAAAGGAAUCUUUAUGAGGCACUGUAGUGACAGGACAAAGAGUAAUGACUUUAGGCGAAAAGAUGGUAGAUGUAGAUGAGACAUUAGGAAUAAAUUGUUUACUAACGGGAUGGUGAGGCUCUGGAACAUGCUGGCCAGAGAACUGUGAAUGCCCCAUCCCUGGUGGUCAGCACCAGGUUGGAUGGGCUUUGAGCAAUCUGAUACAGAGGCAAGUGUCCUUACCCAUGGCAGCAGGGCUGGAACUAGGUCAUCUUUAAGGUCUCUUUCAACCCAAAUCAUUCCAUGAUUCUAUGAUAACACAAAAUUUGAUUUUUGAAUGGACUGCAUCCUAACAGUGCACUUCUAACAAUUUCUACCUUCAUCUGCUGACAGAAAAGGCAAGUGGUGCUUGCAAGAACAUAUCAGUCCUCAAGGAAUACCUAUAGACAUCAGUUAGAGAGCACAUGUGAGUAUUACAGGUACUUGCUGUUGUAGAGGGCAAACUUCCCACAAUGGCCUUUCCCCAGAAGAGGGGCAAAGGAAAGCCAUUCAUCUGCUACAAAAGUUAGAUGCUCAGCUCAAGAUUAUUUGACACAAGAGAAAUCUUGACAUAACCAAGUGCUGCCUCCUUGAUUUGACCUAAUGAACACACUGUGCUUGGAUUUUGAUAGGGUCCUUCAACAAGGGCCCUUACAGAAAUUAAGCUGUCAUGAGAUGACAGGAAAGCCUCUCUUAGGGAUUAAUAACCAGCUAAAAGGGAGCAAGAGAAAAGCAAAAAUGGUGAGUAAAUCUCUUCAAAUAGCACUUUAGCUCUUUACAAAUGACAAAAGGGCUUCACAAGUUAUUACAAAAGGAGCAGGGAAUGAAACAAGGAAUACAAGUAUCAGAUCCACACCCUGCGUGGGCAUGCAUCUUCUCCCUUCAGUCUCAAAAAGGCAACCUGGAAGAGAUGCAUAAAGUGCAGCAAGAAAAGAACAGCUCCCAUAUACGCAAGAGUUAAACAGACAACAAAUCUUCAGCAUGGGCAAAGAAAAAGGGCUCAGAAAGCAAUGGGACAAAGUCCUAGAAUAGAAAGCCAUCAAAGCAGAGCUGCAGACAAAAAGCUCUGAGGUAAGCAGCCUCUAAGCUGCAGAUGCUGGGAGAAGGAAUACAUGAGAAGUAAUAUUAGUACUGUUUGCUCUUCCUCAUAUGAUCUUCCUGUUGGCACCUGCCGUUGGUCACUGCCAGAACUUGGGUACGCUCCUCCAUGGGCCUUUGCUCCUGCUCAGAGUGCUUGAGCACAAAUCCUGAUCAGUGGAAAACAUCCAAGUGAAAAGAAAGUCACAAUGCUGCCCUCUGAUCCAGAGGGAAGACAUCAUCACAGACAGAAGGCAUCCUUCUCAGAGCCAGUAAUGAAGAGAGCAGUAGUAAGAGUGAGGACAAGAAGGCUCUUCAAAAAGCAUUAUUCUGAAUUCCCGAAACACUGGAUGGAUGAGGAAAGCAGAGACAUGUUUUUAAGUGUUUUUGAGAUGAGCUGUGAGUUAAAUUGGGCAGCUGACAACAGCAAGGAGCAAUAACUGUUCUCCUUGCUGAGUGGGACAGUGUUUGCACAGAUACCUAAGGAGGGCUAUGAAAGCUAUGAUUACUGUAAAGCCCCGUUGCAAAUGUUGAAACUGACACCAGUAACUCACAUCUAAAACUGUGAAGGUUCAGCAAGGAGGGGACUCGGGAUGGCCCAAGCUUAACCCAACAGACUGCUGCUUCUACAGUCAGUACCUCUGAGCAGGCUGUCACAGGAGAUCUCUGCGGGGACAUUAUCAUGUGGAUCAGUGCAGGCAUGGGGAAGAGGCAGUUCAGCCCAAUCCUAAAGGAAAAAAAAUUUCCCAUAGGAAAAGCAUGCAAACCACCCUUCACCCACUGAGAGGGCAGGGUGCAGCACGUCUGUGCAGAUAAAGCUAUUUUGUAAGCAGAUGAGCAAUUGAGGAAGGCAUAAAAUGCUCCACCCUGAACCUACUUCCUGAGUCCUUUGGUCAAAAGUCUUGUAUGUCAUGGAGUAAAAAAAAAAGCAGGGAAAGGGGCAAAAGAGUAAAGAGACUGUCUCUCUGUAAAGGUAUUUUUCUGACAGGAUAUGAUCAGGCAGUGGAUGGCAAAAAGAUGCAGAUAAACUAUUUCUAAGGCCAAGAUUUUGUCAGCUGAGUCAAUACAAACAGGAGGUAAGACUCUCAGAGGAAUAUCCUUUUUCUUUAUUACUUGAAAAUGAUGUUAAUGCCACAGCAUUUGAAGACAUAUAUUCUUAAGCCAAAUGACUGAGAGAUGAACUGAUUGGCUUCUUCUGUCAGAAACAGUAGUAAUUCAGCAGUGAUAGCAGCUCCAGAUAAAACUCCUGCAUAUCAGAACUGUGUCAGGAGAUGGGAAUCUUCUAACUGAGCACUGAGGAGAUUUGUCCCAGUUCAUGUCCUCUCCUUGCACAAGGCACAGAAACAUGCCCAGGGAUCCUCAGGAUUAGCAACAUUUAGUUUGGUAAGAGAGUUAUGCCAGGUGGAGAAGUGUUGUGUUUAUAAACUUCAAAAUAACAUCAAGGCUUGUUAGAGUUUCUGGGCUAUUUAGUGGUAUACCGCUUCACGUAGUCUUUGACCCUCUUUGUGCCUCGAAUACUCAAAGCAAAAGGAACUUUAUAAAGGCUGCAGCAAGCCAAAGAAAGACAUUCUUCAUAUACUUCUUUUUGUCAUGUGAUAUGAUAAGAGAAGAAAUUCAUCUAAUUACAAAAAUAGCCUAAACCUGUCACUUGCUGUUGGUCGCCACUGUUGUAGUUAAAAUAGGCUGUGAACUCUGCAGGACAGCGACUGUCUUGUUUGUUUUUAGAGUGGUCAGUAUGCCAGGGCAUCUAUCUCUGGGGGACUCUCAGUGCUUAAGCCUGAAUUAACCUAGCUACUACACAGUUUCUUAGCUGAAAAAAUAUGUUGGCAUUGAGAAGAAAAGAAGCUAUAGACCUAGCAGUCAAACUUGUAAAAAGAAUUGAGGACAUCAGCAUAACAAUCUUUGAAAAUACAACUCCAAUUAUCAUCUGCCUGCAGAAAUAAGUUUUCUGACCAGCUAUCAAACCUUGUUCCAAGCACUUAAAUUAUAAAAUUGCUGGUUUGUGCAACCUCACAC